RNAcentral lists this transfer RNA (73 nucleotides) under Elusimicrobiota bacterium. RNAcentral describes it as "Elusimicrobia bacterium (groundwater metagenome) tRNA-Pro". It matches the Rfam family "tRNA". Rfam says of the family: Transfer RNA (tRNA) molecules are approximately 80 nucleotides in length. Their secondary structure includes four short double-helical elements and three loops (D, anti-codon, and T loops). Lineage: Bacteria; Pseudomonadati; Elusimicrobiota. The record is from RNAcentral.
CGGGGCAUAGCUCAAUUGGCAGAGCGCCUGCUUUGGGAGCAGGAGGUUCCCAGUUCAAGCCUGGGUGCCCCGA